UUUCGGAGCACUUGAAAGUCGGGGACAAGAGAGUGAGGCCAUCAGGCCAAAGAUAAGAUAAUAGCGUGCAAGAUGGGAAAAUAUCAGAUUAGAACAACAGCCACAAACCUAGCAGCGGAUGAUUCUUUAAAUACAUUUUCAAAAUUAUCUAUUACUAGGUCCACUGGUCUCCACAUAAUGAAACUAUUCUGGCUUCAAGUGGUACUGACCGCCGCCUGAAUGUGUGGGAUUUAAGUAAAAUUGGGGAAGAACAAUCAGCAGAAGAUGCAGAAGAUGGGCCUCCAGAACUCCUGUUUAUUCAUGGAGGACACACUGCUAAGAUUUCAGAUUUUAGCUGGAACCCCAAUGAGCCUUGGGUCAUUUGCUCAGUGUCUGAGGAUAACAUCAUGCAGAUAUGGCAAAUGGCUGAAAAUAUUUACAAUGAUGAAGAGUCAGAUGUCACGACAUCCGAACUGGAGGGACAAGGAUCUUAAACCCAAAGUACGAGAUGUUUCUGUUGAAUGUAAUGCUACAUGAAUGCUUGAUUUGUCAAGCGCCAAAAAGGCAUUGUAUAGUAGGAAAUGUAAGUGGGGUGGCUUAUGGCUUCUUUAUCCUCUGAUUCUAGCACUUUCAAGUGAGCUGUUGCGUACUGUAUCAUAUUGUAGCUAUUAGGGAAGAGAAGAAUGUUGCUUAAGAAAGAACAUCACCAUUGAUUUUAAAUACAAGUAGCAGGGUAUUGCCUUUGAUUCAACUGUUUUAAGUCCUCAUUUUCUCAAACUAAGUGCUUGCUGUUCCCAAAUAUGCAAGAAUAACUUUUACACUUUUUCCUUCCAACACUUCUUGAUUGGCUUUGCAGAAAUAAAGUUUUAAAAUAAAA
Molecule: small RNA, 856 nt
Filed under: Pongo abelii (Sumatran orangutan)
Lineage: Eukaryota; Metazoa; Chordata; Mammalia; Primates; Hominidae
Description: retained intron
Source: RNAcentral